This 332-nucleotide ribosomal RNA is filed under the name Salmonella enterica subsp. enterica serovar Agona str. SH08SF124. Its description in RNAcentral is "bacterial SSU rRNA". It matches the Rfam family "Bacterial small subunit ribosomal RNA", at positions 1 to 327 of the family's 1533-position model. The record is from RNAcentral. Lineage: Bacteria; Pseudomonadati; Pseudomonadota; Gammaproteobacteria; Enterobacterales; Enterobacteriaceae.
ACUUAAAUUGAAGAGUUUGAUCAUGGCUCAGAUUGAACGCUGGCGGCAGGCCUAACACAUGCAAGUCGAACGGUAGCACAGAGAGCUUGCUCUCGGGUGACGAGUGGCGGACGGGUGAGUAAUGUCUGGGAAACUGCCUGAUGGAGGGGGAUAACUACUGGAAACGGUGGCUAAUACCGCAUAACGUCGCAAGACCAAAGAGGGGGACCUUCGGGCCUCUUGCCAUCAGAUGUGCCCAGAUGGGAUUAGCUGGUUGGUGAGGUAACGGCUCACCAAGGCGACGAUCCCUAGCUGGUCUGAGAGGAUGACCAGCCACACUGGAACUGAGACAC